GUCUAUAUGAAGGUGUAUAAAGUCUGGCCUGCCCACUGACUYUGCAGCGUUUAAAGGGCCGCGGUAUUUUGACCGUGCGAAGGUAGCAUAAUCAUUAGUCUUUUAAUUGAAGGCUCGUAUGAAUGGCCGGACAAAAAGUGAGCUGUCUCCAAUUGUUAAAAUUGAAUUUGACCUUUAAGUGAAAAGGCUUAAAUAACACAAAGUGACGAUAAGACCCUAUAAAGCUUUAAAGCAAAUUAUUUUUCAGAAUAAAUUAUUAAACCCAUAUAACUUAAUUUAAAAGAAAGCUUUUUUGUUGGGGCGACAAAAAUAUAAAUAAGUAACUGUUUUUGUAAACAAAAAACAGUGAUAACUGGAGUAUAAAAUGAUCCUUUACUAAAGACUAAAAGGUUAAGUUACUUUAGGGAUAACAGCGUAAUCUUCUUUGAGAGUCCAAAUCGACAAGAAGGGUUGCGACCUCGAUGUUGAAUUAAGGUUCCUUUAUGGUGUAGCAGUUAUAAUAGGAGGUCUGUUCGACCUUUAAAUCCUU
RNAcentral lists this ribosomal RNA (529 nucleotides) under Parasergestes vigilax. RNAcentral describes it as "partial 16S ribosomal RNA". It matches the Rfam family "Bacterial large subunit ribosomal RNA", at positions 1831 to 2597 of the family's 2925-position model. The record is from RNAcentral. Lineage: Eukaryota; Metazoa; Arthropoda; Malacostraca; Decapoda; Sergestidae.